Long non-coding RNA from Notothenia coriiceps (black rockcod), 2236 nucleotides. RefSeq lists it as uncharacterized. Lineage: Eukaryota; Metazoa; Chordata; Actinopteri; Perciformes; Nototheniidae. The record is from RefSeq and is a predicted model, not a curated record. The transcript is spliced from 2 exons.
CAAAGUGCAACAAGGAUGAGUAGAGUGGGCCAAGAAAAGACAUGGUUUACAGAUGAGCCGGAGGAUACCCACCUGAGGACCAUACAGAUCAAGCCUGUGAAUACGCUCUCCAUCAACCAAGUAAUUCAGUUUAAAUCCACAAGCAGCUUGAUUCCACCCAUCAGAGAAGCGGAGGACGAGUGCUGAGAUCUGGCCCUGCGCUGACAUCUGGACGCUCGACUCAUCGUGUGGGAGUCAGACUUAGUUCAUCUUCUCAUCUGCAAAUAAAAUAUCAGUUGAGUUUAGAUGAGACGAACACAAAUCGCUUCCCUCAUUCACCCCUGCAGCUUAUUGUACGAUCAGAUUUAGAAUCAUACACAUCAAGACAAUCAUCACAGUCAAAUGCCGCCACCACUCAACCAUUAGCUUGCACAGCUAAUCUUUAGUGGUGACCAGACUCCAUUACUUUUUUUGUUCCAUUUUGGGGAAUGAGGGUCAUUCGAAGGGAACAGCAAUGUAAAAACGACUUCUGCUACUAUAAGAGGUGAUUAUUAUAACUGGAUCAAGUUUGCAAUUGUAAAAGUUGCCUUUUUAGCUGUUGAUGAACAACUACUAUUACUGCAUUGACUUUACCCAGUGUUGCAGAGUUCUCUUUACAGUAUGUUCAAAUGUGUAUUUUACAUCCAGCUGCAAUCCCACCACAAUGGCAUUGUUAGUGACUGACUCUCAGUGAUUCUUUUGCCAUUUGGAGCUAAUUCACAACAUUUGUGACAGUUAAGAUGGCCAGUGUCCAUGUGUAAAUGGCAUUUGGCUCCAGCCUUAUCUCUAUCCAUUUAUAUACGUCUUAUCUUUGCAUUUUUGAGUCGUUUGUCAUAACUGUUUUCAUGUCGCUGUUUGGUUGCAAUGUCCAAAACCCAGAAAUCGUAUGUAAAGCUUUUUAAGUAUCUGCAAGGUUUCUUCAGGGGUAAAUCUUCUAUCUUUUUCUUUUCUUUUUUUUUAACUAGCGCCAAAUAUGAUAGAGCUGUUUUGUUGACAUUAGAAUAUAACCAAAAAUCUCAGACCGUUUAUAAUACAGUGACAGAGAUAUUAACUUACUUUAGGGGAAAAAAGCUAAAUACUAUGGUAAAGCAUGACACCAUAAGUCUGUAGAUGAUAAAGCCUCAUAUCGCAGUGGGCAUCUUUAAGUCCUCCUUUGGCAGUAAGCACUGCCUGACACAGGAUUGUCUUGGAGGCCAUUCAGUGCUUAUGUCCUCCAUGACCAAUCUUAAUGCCAAAAUCCGACAUGGUCAUGCUUUCUGUAGAUGCAUUAAAAAAACAACAGCUCUAUCAUACAUAAUUUGUUUGGCUAUAUGAGUGUUCCGAUUGAUGUUGGGGAUCAAUUACAUAUCUGAUAUUUUCAUAAAAUGAAGCACAGAUCCAUUUGUUUCAUUUUGUACAAGCACGUGUUGAGAGCUUAGGGUGUUUAUUAAUCUUGUCUUGUCUUAUUUCAAUUGUAAAACACAGCUAUAUUGGCACUGUUGUCACUUUACUACAAAAUCAAUGAAAAGGGAAAGAAAGGUAAAAACUUCCCAAGCUCAAUCCACAGGAUGCAUUGUAGUCUAGGCUAAGAUUCAUGUUGGAUGUGCAAAGAGUUUAUCAAAUGUUUUAGUGGCACAGAGAAAAGCCAUCCCUCAGUGCCAGUAAUGUGCCGGGCAGUGCUGAAGCCAACGGAGGACUCCAGAAGACCCACUACUGCGAAAAGAGGCUUCGAAAUUCAAUCUCAAUGUAUUAUUGUCACGAAACUGAGAAAUGUACCUUUCUCUUUGCUGAGUUUUUUUUUUAUGUAGUGUUUGAAAUUCUUAAUACGUCUCUGUAAUUCCCUGGAGAUAACUGUAGUAAAUAAUUUGAAGUCUUAAAACUAUUUUUAAAUUAUCCAUCAUCAAUAGCAGCGCCUGAUAGCAAUUCAUUUUAUGUUCUUUUCAAAGAAAUCUGUAAAGCUUAAUGUAAAAAUAUUUCUUUCUAGUGUGUUCUUGUUUGACAGUACCUGUGGGGUGGAGAGACAUUCAACAUUGCAGUCUAGUUUGUAUUAUUUUGUCAAUUUCUUUUUAGCACAUUGACUUGUGGAUACAAUGACAGUGCUAAGUUGAUAUUUCUGACUAUGUCAUAACACCCAAUAAUGAUUACAGUUUAUUGUCUUGUACAAAUAGGCUUGUACAUAAAAUUGUACAUGAUUUCAUUUUGUAUUUUCACAAAUUAAAAGCUGAUGUAUUGUGUUCUA